GAGAUUUUCGCAAUGCCCGAAAGGGUGACGAAGCGACGCCGCGUGCGGGAAGAAGGCCUUCGGGUUGUAAACCGCUGUCGGGAGUUAAGAAAUGUAAGGAUGUUAAUAGCAUCUUUGCUUGACUAAGGCUCCGGAGGAAGCCACGGCUAACUCUGUGCCAGCAGCCGCGGUAAUACAGAGGCGACAAGCGUUGUUCGGAAUUAUUGGGCGUAAAGAGCACGUAGGCGGCUAUGUAAGUCGGUUGUGAAAGCCUUCCGCUCAACGGGAGAACAGCAUCCGAUACUGCAUGGCUUGAGUGCGGGAGGGGAGAGUGGAACUUCUGGUGGAGCGGUGAAAUGCGUAGAUAUCAGAAGGAACGCCGGCGGCGAAAGCGGCUCUCUGGCCCAUAACUGACGCUGAGUGUGCGAAAGCCAGGGGAGCAAACGGGAUUAGAUACCCCGGUAGUCCUAGCCGUAAACGAUGGGCACUAAGUAGAGGGGUUUUA
Molecule: ribosomal RNA, 484 nt
Filed under: uncultured bacterium
Lineage: Bacteria
Description: bacterial SSU rRNA
Rfam family: Bacterial small subunit ribosomal RNA
Source: RNAcentral